Molecule: ribosomal RNA, 172 nt
Filed under: uncultured bacterium
Lineage: Bacteria
Description: partial 16S ribosomal RNA
Rfam family: Bacterial small subunit ribosomal RNA
Source: RNAcentral
GAAUUGCUAGUAAUCACAGGUCAGCAUACUGUGGUGAAUACGUUCCCGGGCCUUGUACACACCGCCCGUCACACCAUGAGAGUUGAGAAUACCCGAAGCCUGUGAGCUAACAGUAAUGAAGCAGCAGUCGAAGGUAGAAUCAAUGAUUGGGGUGAAGUCGUAACAAGGUACC